Magnolia sinica is the source of this 1733-nucleotide RNA transcript. RefSeq lists it as uncharacterized. The record is from RefSeq and is a predicted model, not a curated record. The transcript has 6 exons. Lineage: Eukaryota; Viridiplantae; Streptophyta; Magnoliopsida; Magnoliales; Magnoliaceae.
CCCUCCUCUUCUCCAAACUCUCGCAGUCGCCUGCCGCGCCUCCAUUGCAAGCAGAGUAACGUUGUUGUCCUACUUUCUACUCUAAACCCUAACCAUCAACCACCAACGAUGUCCAUAGUCUUCCCGAUCUGCGGUAGCAACAGAUCUCGUCCCAAUGCAUGGCCGCCCAACCUCCAUCAACAACAGCUACCAUCACAAGAGGCUUCUCGUCCCUCAUUGUCAACAACACCUACCAUCAAAUCAAAGGUUCAUCAACAUAAUUUUCACCCGAAAUGUGUAUAUAUGUUGUUGUAAUGUUGAGACGCAUGAUGGAAGUGUCUUGCAUUAAUGGGAUGUAGUACACGAUGAAAGUACCAGAUGUUUUAAAUCUACUAACAUUGAUGCCUCAAUUGGUUGCCAAUGUGCCUUCUGUAUGAUGGCUAAGCAGGUAGAAUAUAGAACCCGAGAAUCUUUUACGUUACUCAAAUGUAUUCAAUGCAAGCACAGAUGUAAGUAAAUCUACUAAUAUUGAUGCCUCAAUUGGUUAUCAGAUCCUUUCGGCCUUAAACUUUCCCUGUGUUUAAUUGAUCACUUGUAAUAUUACUGCAAAUCACAGGGAGUGUGCUUGGGGACAUGAUUUUCUCAUGAUGGGCUCUGAAUCUUUAUAUUUUUGUGGGAAAUAUUGCAAGAAGGUCUAGAUGCUUUCCCUCACCAGCAUCAUUCCAACACUCUCUUUGACGCCAAUAUGGGUUUUGCUGAAUGCGCUUUUUCCACUACUGGGGCUGCUGUCCUGUCAAUGAUCCUUGUUAAUCUGCUAGACAUUUUAAAGUCGUUUUGGUAAAUUUGUCGAGAUCCAAUUUGAUAAGCAUGGAAUGUUAUCGGGUGCAGCCAUCAGAUAAGUGGUGAAAGUGGGGCAGGAAAAACUGAAACAACAAAAAUUGCAAUGGCUACGGAUUAUCGGUAGCCAUAGGUUCUAUGUCUACAGAUUAAAUCAUUUAUUUAGGUUAUUUGCUUUCUUUUGGUAGGCCUUUAUUUUCUUUCUUUUUUCUUUUUUCCAGAGAGCUCAUAUUUUAUUCCCCGCAAUUGGGGUCACUAUGGUACUGUUUCUUUGGAAGGUCUGACAAAAAUGCAUCAAGAAAAUUUUCUAAAGAGAGAAUUGAUCUUAUGAUUGGUUGGUUGAUUUUCAUUCAGGAAAAAGAAUUCAUCCUAUAUUAGGCCCAAGCUCAAUCCUAUGUGGCAGGGACUUGAAGCCUAAUAGGCUAGUCUAUCCUAUUGCCAUAACAAGCCCUGAAUAUUAUUUCCAGUGAUUAUGGAUAUUGGUCCCACAAACAUUUUAGUGCACUAUUUCUAGUCUAUAUCCAUUAUAUUAUGAACUUAUGUUUUGUGUUUGCUCUAUUAGGUGAAAUUGAACUAUAUUCUGAGGGGCAUCGAACCUCGAGAAUUUGACUGAGGAAUAUAUGACUUCCUCUGAGGAUGUAACUUAUAUCUUAAUUAAGCUUCGGGCAGCUCCGUAGAGGGUCACUGCCAUUUUUUCUACCUAUCACAUUCGAGAUUGGGUGAGUACUGCAUCAUCGCCUCACUCGAAUGCAUCCUAAAUCAUACUGUUGUGUAUUAUCAUGGAUGUUGUGAAUGUUGUUUUCUUUUCUUGCUCUCCAUAAAUUGGAUGCUUGCAGAAGCUCAAAAUCUCUAUUCCUCUAAUAAGCAGUGGUUCUUCUUAGCUAUCCUGAUUGACUUGGUUGCUAGUUAUAUGUUUG